UCCGGUUUGGCACCGGCAGUCUCCAAUGAGUCCCCGGCAUUACCCGCUGGCAACAUUGGACAGGGGUUGCGCUCGUUGCGCCACUUAAGGCAACACCUCACGGCACGAGCUGACGACAGCCGUGCAGCACCUGUGCAGGCUCCCGAAGGAGGACCGUAUUUCUACGGCUUUCUCGACCAUGUCAAGCCUUGGUAAGGUUCUUCGCGUUGCGUCGAAUUAAACCACAUGCUCCGCUGCUUGUGCGGGCCCCCGUCAAUUCCUUUGAGUUUUAGCCUUGCGGCCGUACUCCCCAGGCGGGGUGCUUAAUGCGUUAGCUUCGGCACGGAGGGAGUCGACACCCCCCACACCUAGCACCCAUCGUUUACGCCGUGGACUAC
Molecule: unclassified non-coding RNA, 377 nt
Filed under: uncultured Actinomycetes bacterium
Lineage: Bacteria; Bacillati; Actinomycetota; Actinomycetes
Description: uncultured actinobacterium contains 16S-23S intergenic spacer region
Source: RNAcentral